Molecule: ribosomal RNA, 434 nt
Filed under: uncultured Streptococcus sp.
Lineage: Bacteria; Bacillati; Bacillota; Bacilli; Lactobacillales; Streptococcaceae
Description: bacterial SSU rRNA
Rfam family: Bacterial small subunit ribosomal RNA
Source: RNAcentral
AAUUCGAAGCAACGCGAAGAACCUUACCUAGGUCUUGACAUCCCGAUGCUAUUUCUAGAGAUAGAAAGUUACUUCGGUACAUCGGUGACAGGUGGUGCAUGGUUGUCGUCAGCUCGUGUCGUGAGAUGUUGGGUUAGGUCCCGCAACGAGCGCAACCCCUAUUGCUAGUUGCCAUCAUUCAGUUGGGCACUCUAGCGAGACUGCCGGUAAUAAACCGGAGGAAGGUGGGGAUGACGUCAAAUCAUCAUGCCCCUUAUGACCUGGGCUACACACGUGCUACAAUGGUUGGUACAACGAGUUGCGAGUCGGUGACGGCGAGCUAAUCUCUUAAAGCCAAUCUCAGUUCGGAUUGUAGGCUGCAACUCGCCUACAUGAAGUCGGAAUCGCUAGUAAUCGCGGAUCAGCACGCCGCGGUGAAUACGUUCCCGGGCCUU